This 400-nucleotide ribosomal RNA is filed under the name uncultured bacterium. Its description in RNAcentral is "bacterial SSU rRNA". It matches the Rfam family "Bacterial small subunit ribosomal RNA", at positions 355 to 772 of the family's 1533-position model. The record is from RNAcentral.
UGGGGAAUAUUGGGCAAUGGGCGCAAGCCUGACCCAGCCAUGCCGCGUGAGUGAUGACGGCCUUAGGGUUGUAAAGCUCUUUUAGUGGUGAGGAUGAUGACGGUAACCACAGAAAAAGCCCCGGCUAACUUCGUGCCAGCAGCCGCGGUAAUACGAAGGGGGCUAGCGUUGUUCGGAUUUACUGGGCGUAAAGCGCACGCAGGCGGCUUAUCAAGUCAGGGGUGAAAUCCCGGGGCUCAACCUCGGAACUGCCUUUGAAACUGGUAAGCUAGAGUUCGGGAGAGGAUAGUGGAAUUCCUAGUGUAGCAGUGAAAUGCGUAGAUAUUAGGAGGAACACCGAUGGCGAAGGCAGCUAUCUGGCCCGAUACUGACGCUCAUGUGCGAAAGCGUGGGGAGCAAA